ACCUACUCUGCCAUGCUGUUGCUCUGUCUCAGAAGAAACGAAGCCCUGCUACCUCCAGGCCUUCUUCUCUGGGCCACUUCCCCAGUUCCUGCUCUGAGGCUCCUUCCUGCUGUGUUCCGUCAGCCUGUCAGACCACUCUGGUUUCCUCACAGUGAGCCUGCUCCCCGGGCCGGAUCCUGAUGAAGUGAAUAAUCUACAAAGGCUGGCUCCUUGAAGCCUGAGGGUAAGUUUUAGAGGCACGUCCCUCUCCAAUGCAGAGAAGGCAUCAGUCAGGGUGGAGUAGAAAGUCCCUUGCUGUUUGUGUCAGGCUUUCAACUUCCUUUCCCUGUCACCUCGAGCAAAUCAGGUCUUCUACAGUCAACUUUCUUCCUACGUAAGGGAGAGUUACUUCUGCUACACUGAUUUCCAGGUGGGUCACAGGGAGCCGGUGAGGGAUGGGAUUGAGAGGCUGAUCAUGUCUAAGGGACUGUUUAUCAUUUCACUACUCAGCAUGUGCAAGUCACAUUGAAAACUUCCCCAGAAAGAGUAGCCUGACACUCAGCCGUCAGCCUUCUGGAGUUUUCUUAAAAGACAGCCACUGUGGACCCACUGGCUCAGAACACAGGGGAACAGCUCUGCUCACUAACAUGUGUAAACUGAAACCUCACUGACAUGAGGUGACUUCAGAAU
RNAcentral lists this long non-coding RNA (669 nucleotides) under Cervus hanglu yarkandensis (Yarkand deer). RNAcentral's name for it is "lncRNA (ENSCHYG00000018831.1)". Lineage: Eukaryota; Metazoa; Chordata; Mammalia; Artiodactyla; Cervidae. The record is from RNAcentral.